UUGAGCCGAAACUUCAAGACCUUGGCUUCCAAGCUUGAUCCUUCGCACUCCACUUGCACUCGCCAUGGAUUCUAAUAUCUCUUUGGAAGUUUCGAGAUGAGUUUAUAAGAGCGGAAUCCAAUUAGCUAUGCCGCCAACUUGAACUAGCCUAUUGCUAUCAUAGUCAAUGUAAAGACGAAUUUGAAGUCUAAAACAAAGGGUCAAAGUUGAAAAAUAAUAAAUAAUCAAAUAUCUUUUUUUU
Molecule: non-coding RNA, 241 nt
Organism: Camelina sativa (false flax)
Lineage: Eukaryota; Viridiplantae; Streptophyta; Magnoliopsida; Brassicales; Brassicaceae
Source: RefSeq, a predicted model, not a curated record